This 249-nucleotide long non-coding RNA is filed under the name Mytilus galloprovincialis (Mediterranean mussel). The record is from RNAcentral. Lineage: Eukaryota; Metazoa; Mollusca; Bivalvia; Mytilida; Mytilidae.
CUUUUAUAUUUAUCCGAAUAUUGCAUGGCGGGGUUUUAACAGUAUGUUUUUUACUUUUGUCAAUAGUUUGUGUGUAUUUCAAAAGGCCAUCAAAUUAUAAACUUGUUAUCCGGGUUUUUGAUAAAUUUUAGGUUUCCACCAUCACUAAAGACACACGAUAAGAAACAUAACGUCCAGUGCCAAAUAUUUCAUGCAUAAGUUUUAUAGAUUCUUUUUUUUAUGAAUAUUACUGUUAUGUGAUCAACGCCG